AUUGAACGCUGGCGGCAGGCCUAACACAUGCAAGUCGAACGGUAACAGGGAUCAGCUUGCUGAUUCGCUGACGAGUGGCGGACGGGUGAGUCAUGUCUGGGAAACUGCCUGAUGGAGGGGGAUAACUACUGGAAACGGUAGCUAAUACCGCAUAACGUCGCAAGACCAAAGAGGGGGCCCUUCGGGCCUCUUGCCAUCGGGUGUGCCCAGAUGGGAUUAGCUAGUAGGUGGGGUAACGGCUCACCUAGGCGACGAUCCCUAGCUGGUCUGAGAGGAUGACCAGCCACACUGGAACUGAGACGCGGUCCAGACUCCUUCGGGAGGCAGCAGUGGGGAAUAUUGCACAAUGGGCGCAAGCCUGAUGCAGCCAUGCCGCGUGUAUGGAGAAGGCCUUCGGGUUGUAAAGUACGUUCAGCGGGGAGGAAGGGAGUAGAGUUAAUACCUUUGCUGAUUGACGUUACCCGCAGAAGAAGCACCGGCUAACUCCGUG
RNAcentral lists this ribosomal RNA (490 nucleotides) under uncultured bacterium. RNAcentral's name for it is "partial 16S ribosomal RNA". It matches the Rfam family "Bacterial small subunit ribosomal RNA", at positions 30 to 507 of the family's 1533-position model. The record is from RNAcentral.